UGCAAGUCGAACGCGAAAGUGGAGCAAUCCAUGAGUAGAGUGGCAAACGGGUGAGUAACACGUGGAUGACCUGCCUCCGAGCGGGGGAUAACGUCCCGAAAGGGACGCUAAUACCGCAUAACAUCCUGCCUUUUAAGAGGUGGAGAUCAAAGCCGGGGAUCGCAAGACCUGGCACUUGAAGAGGGGCCCGCGCCUGAUUAGCUAGUUGGUGGGGUAAUGGCUCACCAAGGCAACGAUCAGUAUCCGGCCUGAGAGGGCGGACGGACACACUGGGACUGAGACACGGCCCAGACUCCUACGGGAGGCAGCAGUGGGGAAUUGUUCGCAAUGGGCGCAAGCCUGACGACGCAACGCCGCGUGGAGGAUGAAGACCUUCGGGUCGUAAACUCCUUUCGAUCGAGACGAAUGGUUUCCGGGUGAACAAUCCGGAGAAAUGACGGUACCGAGAGAAGAAGCCCCGGCUAACUCCGUGCCAGCAGCCGCGGUAAUACGGGGGGGGCAAGCGUUGUUCGGAAUUACUGGGCGUAAAGGGCUCGUAGGUGGCCAACUAAGUCAGACGUGAAAUCCCUCAGCUUAACUGGGGAACUGCGUCUGAUACUGGAUGGCUUGAGUUUGGGAGAGGGAUGCGGAAUUCCAGGUGUAGCGGUGAAAUGCGUAGAUAUCUGGAGGAACACCGGUGGCGAAGGCGGCAUCCUGGACCAAUACUGACACUGAGGAGCGAAAGCCGGGGGAGCAAACGGGAUUAGAUACCCCGGUAGUCCUGGCCCUAAACGGUGAAUGCUUGGUGUGGCGGGUAUCGAUCCCUGCCGUGCCGAAGCUAACGCAUUAAGCAUUCCGCCUGGGGAGUACGGUCGCAAGGCUG
This 862-nucleotide ribosomal RNA is filed under the name uncultured Acidobacteriota bacterium. RNAcentral's name for it is "bacterial SSU rRNA". It matches the Rfam family "Bacterial small subunit ribosomal RNA", at positions 56 to 896 of the family's 1533-position model. Lineage: Bacteria; Pseudomonadati; Acidobacteriota. The record is from RNAcentral.